CCCAGACAGCCAGGAUGUUGGCUUAGAAGCAGCCAUCAUUUAAAGAAAGCGUAAUAGCUCACUGGUCGAGUCGGCCUGCGCGGAAGAUGUAACGGGGCUAAACCAUGCACCGAAGCUGCGGCAGCGAACGUAUCACUUAAAGCGAUUCAGCGGGUUACGAUUGACGGAGCGAAGCGACGUCAAAGCGUAUACAAAGUCGAGUCGGUUUAAGGAUACGUUCGUUGGGUAGGGGAGCGUUCUGUAAGCCUGUGAAGGUGGCCUGUGAGGGUUGCUGGAGGUAUCAGAAGUGCGAAUGCUGACAUAAGUAACGAUAAAGCGGGUGAAAAGCCCGCUCGCCGGAAGACCAAGGGUUCCUGUCCAACGUUAAUCGGGGCAGGGUGAGUCGACCCCUAAGGCGAGGCCGAAAGGCGUAGUCGAUGGGAAACGGGUUAAUAUUCCCGUACUUGGUGUUACUGCGAAGGGGGGACGGAGAAGGCUAUGUUGGCCGGGCGACGGUUGUCCCGGUUUAAGCGUGUAGGUGUGUGUUCCAGGUAAAUCCGGUUCACUUUAACACUGAGGCGUGACGACGAGGCACUACGGUGCUGAAGCAACAAAUGCCCUGCUUCCAGGAAAAGCCUCUAAGCAUCAGGUAACAUCAAAUCGUACCCCAAACCGACACAGGUGGUCAGGUAGAGAAUACCAAGGCGCUUGAGAGAACUCGGGUGAAGGAACUAGGCAAAAUGGUGCCGUAACUUCGGGAGAAGGCACGCUGACA
RNAcentral lists this ribosomal RNA (754 nucleotides) under Salmonella enterica subsp. enterica serovar Anatum. RNAcentral describes it as "partial 23S ribosomal RNA". It matches the Rfam family "Bacterial large subunit ribosomal RNA", at positions 1084 to 1756 of the family's 2925-position model. Lineage: Bacteria; Pseudomonadati; Pseudomonadota; Gammaproteobacteria; Enterobacterales; Enterobacteriaceae. The record is from RNAcentral.